AGUACACAUUGUUAGAGCUCAAAAUUGAGGUCACCAACUGGCUAAGGAACUCUGAAGUGUCGAUAAUAUGCUACAUGAGGUGCAAGUUUUUCACAAGCACUUCAUUCUGACCCUAUGAGUGGAGCUUGCUAGGAAUCCUUGCUAUAGGU
Molecule: small nucleolar RNA, 149 nt
Organism: Perognathus longimembris pacificus (Pacific pocket mouse)
Lineage: Eukaryota; Metazoa; Chordata; Mammalia; Rodentia; Heteromyidae
Source: RefSeq, a predicted model, not a curated record